Long non-coding RNA from Chenopodium quinoa (quinoa), 1540 nucleotides. RefSeq lists it as uncharacterized. Lineage: Eukaryota; Viridiplantae; Streptophyta; Magnoliopsida; Caryophyllales; Amaranthaceae. The record is from RefSeq and is a predicted model, not a curated record. The transcript is spliced from 6 exons.
CACGUAACUUGCCCCAACUGAUAGAGAAGCCCAUUACUUGGCUUUUUAGGGUUUCAAUUAAUAGCCGUCAUUUCUCCUCUCCUCCUCUCUCUCUCCUUUCUCUCUCUCUCUCUCUCUCUCCCUCUCCUCUCAUCUCCUCCCUGCCAUUCUCCUCUCCUCCUCUUUCUCUCCUCCCCGUCCUUCUCUCCUCUCCUCCAUCAAUUUUAGAGAAAAAAACUAUUGCGCUUUCGUUGUCGUUGUCAAUGUCGAAUUUGAAUUGCGAGUUCUCUUCAAUUUUACAGCCUCCAUUUUUGAUCUACUGCGCUUUUGUUGUCGUUGUCAAUGUUGCCGUUGUUGACUACUCUUCCGGCGAAGUCCGAUGACUUGCCUUCUGAAUGGGAUAGAGUUUACUCCGAUUGAUCCUAGUGUUGUUCUACAUGAUAUCGCUUUUGUUCCCGAUGACUCUAAUCACGGAGGAAAUUCCUAUAGAGGAGGUGUUUGAGAGUUUGAGAUGCUCAAGAGAAGGUCUAACUUCAGAUGAUGCAACCAACCGUCUUCAAAUUUUUGGACAUAACAAGCUAGAAGAAAAAAAAGGAGAGCAAACUCUUGAAGUUUCUUGGCUUUAUGUGGAAUCCAUGGUCAUGGGUUAUGGAAGUAGCUACUUUAAUGGCUAUUGUAUUGGAAAAUGGUGAUAAUAAGCCUCCAGAUUGGCAGGAUUUUGUGGGUAUCAUGGUGCUUCUGGUGAUCAACUCUACUAUUAGUUUCAUAGAAGAAAACAAUGUUGGUAAUGCUGCAGCAGUGCUUAUGGCUAACCUUGCUCCUAAAACCAAAGUUCUUCAGAGAUGGAUGAUGGGGUGAAAUGGAGGCAUCAAUUCUAGACCUAUGUGACAUAAUUAGCAUCAAGUUAGGAGACAUAGUCCCUGCUGAUGCUCGUCUUCUUGAGGGUGAUCCUUUGAAGAUUUAUCAAUCUGCUCUCAUUGGAGAAUCUCUUCCUGUCACUAGGAAUCCUGGAGACGAGGUCUUCUGUAGUUCAACCUGUAAACAAGAUGAUGGGACUUAAGCUAUGAAGAAAGUAUUGAUUCAAAACAAUGAGCAGCUGGACUUGGUGAGGGAGGAGAUCCGAGUUUCCUCCCUAUUUACAUAUCCUAAUCUGCUUCCCCUUCUUGAUCAUGCUAUCAUCAAAGUCAAGGCCACUCAAGAGCAAUCUUGGAAUCAUGAAGCGUACCUGUUAUUCCCAGUUCAUUUGGAUGGAACUUUGCUGGACAACUCAACCGCUAUGAAAGCUAAUAAGGCCCUUCUGGUGGAUUUAAGUUUGGGUGAAGGUAGCUUAAGUGUACAAUGUCAAAUAAGUAAAACAUAACGCCUUUAGAGGAAACAAGUGUAAUUUUUUUUUUAAAAUCAGGAAACAAGUGUACUUUAGAUUUGGUUUAACUUGGCUGUUCUUUUAAAGUUUUAGUUAUUAAUAUUAAUUGUAUAUUUUUUUUUUGGAAGAAAUAUAAAUUGUAUACUAUAUUUGUAUAAAAAUAUAUACAUCUCAAAUUAAAUGAUAAAAUGGUGUGCA